RNAcentral lists this ribosomal RNA (107 nucleotides) under Jaculus jaculus (lesser Egyptian jerboa). Lineage: Eukaryota; Metazoa; Chordata; Mammalia; Rodentia; Dipodidae. The record is from RNAcentral.
GUCUAUGAUCAUACCACCUUGAAUGUUCCCAAUCUGCCUGAUCCAGCAACUAAGCAGGGCCAGAACUGGCUAAUUCUUGGAUAGGAGAACUCAGAUACUCCUAGUCU